This 798-nucleotide ribosomal RNA is filed under the name Enterobacter cloacae. Its description in RNAcentral is "partial 23S ribosomal RNA". It matches the Rfam family "Bacterial large subunit ribosomal RNA", at positions 393 to 1194 of the family's 2925-position model. The record is from RNAcentral. Lineage: Bacteria; Pseudomonadati; Pseudomonadota; Gammaproteobacteria; Enterobacterales; Enterobacteriaceae.
CAGGUUGUGAACUCGAAGAGUAGGGCGGGACACGUGGUAUCCUGUCUGAAUAUGGGGGGACCAUCCUCCAAGGCUAAAUACUCCUGACUGACCGAUAGUGAACCAGUACCGUGAGGGAAAGGCGAAAAGAACCCCGGCGAGGGGAGUGAAAAAGAACCUGAAACCGUGUACGUACAAGCAGUGGGAGCACCUUCGGGUGUGACUGCGUACCUUUUGUAUAAUGGGUCAGCGACUUAUAUUCUGUAGCAAGGUUAACCGUAUAGGGGAGCCGAAGGGAAACCGAGUCUUAACUGGGCGUUAAGUUGCAGGGUAUAGACCCGAAACCCGGUGAUCUAGCCAUGGGCAGGUUGAAGGUUGGGUAACACUAACUGGAGGACCGAACCGACUAAUGUUGAAAAAUUAGCGGAUGACUUGUGGCUGGGGGUGAAAGGCCAAUCAAACCGGGAGAUAGCUGGUUCUCCCCGAAAGCUAUUUAGGUAGCGCCUCGUGAACUCAUCUUCGGGGGUAGAGCACUGUUUCGGCUAGGGGGCCAUCCCGGCUUACCAACCCGAUGCAAACUACGAAUACCGAAGAAUGUUAUCACGGGAGACACACGGCGGGUGCUAACGUCCGUCGUGAAGAGGGAAACAACCCAGACCGCCAGCUAAGGUCCCAAAGUCAUGGUUAAGUGGGAAACGAUGUGGGAAGGCCCAGACAGCCAGGAUGUUGGCUUAGAAGCAGCCAUCAUUUAAAGAAAGCGUAAUAGCUCACUGGUCGAGUCGGCCUGCGCGGAAGAUGUAACGGGGCUAAACCAUGCAC